This 615-nucleotide ribosomal RNA is filed under the name Pseudomonadales bacterium. Its description in RNAcentral is "partial 23S ribosomal RNA". It matches the Rfam family "Bacterial large subunit ribosomal RNA", at positions 211 to 827 of the family's 2925-position model. The record is from RNAcentral. Lineage: Bacteria; Pseudomonadati; Pseudomonadota; Gammaproteobacteria; Pseudomonadales.
CGGAGGAGAAGAAAACAAAAGUGAUUCCGAUAGUAGCGGCGAGCGAACUCGGAUUAGCCCAAACCAGUGUUGUUACGGCAAUGCUGGGGUUGUAGGACCACGAUAUUUGAUGCGUAAUGAAUUAGAACACUUUGGAAAGAGUGACCAGAGAGGGUGAUAGUCCCGUAUAAGUAAAGAUCGUUAUUGAUAGUGGUAUCCUGAGUAGUGCGGGGCACGUGUAACCCUGUAUGAAUUUGGCGGGACCAUCCGUUAAGGCUAAAUACUCCUGAGAGACCGAUAGUGAACUAGUACCGUGAGGGAAAGGUGAAAAGAACCUUGAAUAAAGGAGUGAAAAAGAACCUGAAACCAUACGCUUACAAGCGGUCGGAGCCAGUAAUGGUGACGGCGUGCCUUUUGCAUAAUGAGCCUACGAGUUACCGUUGCUAGCAAGGUUAAGGACUUCAGGUCCGCAGCCGUAGCGAAAGCGAGUCUGAAUAGGGCGCUUUAGUUAGUAGUGGUAGACGCGAAACCGUGUGAUCUACCCAUGGGCAGGGUGAAGCUGUGGUAACACACAGUGGAGGCCCGAACCGGUUGACGUUGAAAAGUCUUCGGAUGAACUGUGGGUAGGGGUGAAAG